This 508-nucleotide ribosomal RNA is filed under the name uncultured bacterium. RNAcentral's name for it is "partial 16S ribosomal RNA". It matches the Rfam family "Bacterial small subunit ribosomal RNA", at positions 28 to 507 of the family's 1533-position model. The record is from RNAcentral.
GACGAACGCUGGCGGCGUGCCUAAUACAUGCAAGUCGAACGCUUCUUUCCUCCCGAGUGCUUGCACUCAAUUGGAAAGAGGAGUGGCGGACGGGUGAGUAACACGUGGGUAACCUACCCAUCAGAGGGGGAUAACACUUGGAAACAGGUGCUAAUACCGCAUAACAGUUUAUGCCGCAUGGCAUAAGAGUGAAAGGCGCUUUCGGGUGUCGCUGAUGGAUGGACCCGCGGUGCAUUAGCUAGUUGGUGAGGUAACGGCUCACCAAGGCCACGAUGCAUAGCCGACCGGAGAGGGUGAUCGGCCACACUGGGACUGAGACACGGACCAGACUCCUACGGGAGGCAGCAGUAGGGAAUCUUCGGCAAUGGACGAAAGUCUGACCGAGCAACGCCGCGUGAGUGAAGAAGGUUUUCGGAUCGUAAAACUCUGUUGUUAGAGAAGAACAAGGACGUUAGUAACUGAACGUCCCCUGACGGUAUCUAACCAGAAAGACACGGCUAACUACGUG